GGCGAGUGAAGCGGCAACAGCUCAAUUUGAAAUCUGGCCUCGGCCCGAGUUGUAAUUUGCAGAGGAUGUUUCUGGCGCGGUGCCUUCUGAGUUCCCUGGAACGGGACGCCAUAGAGGGUGAGAGCCCCGUACGGUUGGACGCCUAGCCUGUGUGAAACUCCUUCGACGAGUCGAGUAGUUUGGGAAUGCUGCUCAAAAUGGGAGGUAUAUCUCUUCUAAAGCUAAAUACCGGCCAGAGACCGAUAGCGCACAAGUAGAGUGAUCGAAAGAUGAAAAGCACCUUGAAAAGGGGGUUAAACAGCACGUGAAAUUGUUGAAAGGGAAGCGCCCAUGACCAGACUUGUGCCCGGCGGAUCACCCAGCGUUCUCGCUGGGGCACUCCGCCGGGUCCAGGCCAGCAUCGGUUUUCGCCGGGGGAUAAAGGCUCUGGGAACGUAGCUCCUCCGGGAGUGUUAUAGCCCUCUGCGUAAUACCCUGGCGGGGACCGAGGUACGCGCUCCGCAAGGAUGCUGGCGUAAUGGUCAUCAGCGACCCGUCUUGAAACACGGAUCAAGGAGUCGUCCAUUAAAGCGAGCGUUUGGGUGUCAAACCCGCACGCGUAAUGAAAGUGAACGUAGGUGAGAGCUUCGGCGCAUCAUCGACCGAUCCUGAUGUCCUCGGAUGGAUUUGAGUAUGAGUUUUACUGGACGGACCCGAAAGAUGGUGAACUAUGCCUGUAUAGGGUGAAGCCAGAGGAAACUCUGGUGGAGGCUCGCAGCGGUUCUGACGUGCAAAUCGAUCGUCAAAUAUGGGCAUGGGGGCGAAAGACUAAUCGAACCAUCUAGUAGCUGGUUAC
Molecule: ribosomal RNA, 835 nt
Filed under: Phaeoacremonium africanum
Lineage: Eukaryota; Fungi; Ascomycota; Sordariomycetes; Togniniales; Togniniaceae
Description: partial large subunit ribosomal RNA
Rfam family: Eukaryotic large subunit ribosomal RNA
Source: RNAcentral